RNAcentral lists this ribosomal RNA (449 nucleotides) under uncultured bacterium. Its description in RNAcentral is "partial 16S ribosomal RNA". It matches the Rfam family "Bacterial small subunit ribosomal RNA", at positions 29 to 523 of the family's 1533-position model. The record is from RNAcentral.
AAUGAACGCUGGCGGCAGGCCUAACACAUGCAAGUCGAACGGAUCCUUCGGGAUUAGUGGCGGACGGGUGAGUAACGCGUGGGAACAUACCCUUUGGUACGGAAUAGCCUCGGGAAACUGGGAGUAAUACCGUAUGUGGUCGAGAGACGAAAGAUUUUUCGCCAAAGGAUUGGCCCGCGUUGGAUUAGGUAGUUGGUGGGGUAAUGGCCUACCGAGCCGACGAUCCAUAGCUGGGUUGAGAGGAUGAUCAGCCACACUGGGACUGAGACACGGCCCAGACUCCUACGGGAGGCAGCAGUGGGGAAUCUUAGAAAAUGGGGGAAACCCUGAUCUAGCCAUGCCGCGUGAUCGAUGAAGGCCUUAGGGUUGUAAAGAUCUUUCAGGUGGGAAGAUAAUGACUGUACCACCAGAAGAAGCCCCGGCUAACUCCGUGCCAGCCGCCGCGGUAA